GAUGAAGAACGUAGCGAAAUGCGAUAAGUAAUGUGAAUUGCAGAAUUCAGUGAAUCAUCGAAUCUUUGAACGCACAUUGCGCCCGCCAGCAUUCUGGCGGGCAUGCCUGUUCGAGCGUCAUUUCAACCCUCGAGCCCCCCCGGGGGCCUCGGUGUUGGGGGACGGCACACCAGCCGCCCCCGAAAUGCAGUGGCGACCCCGUCGCAGCCUCCCCUGCGUAGUAGCACACACCUCGCACCGGAGCGCGGAGGCGGUCACGCCGUAAAACGCCCAACUUUCUUAGAGUUGACCUCGGAUCAGGUAGGAAUACCCGCUGAACUUAAGCAUAUCAAUAAGCGGAGGA
RNAcentral lists this unclassified non-coding RNA (343 nucleotides) under soil metagenome. RNAcentral's name for it is "partial contains 5.8S ribosomal RNA, internal transcribed spacer 2, and large subunit ribosomal RNA". The stretch from base 1 to 120 matches the Rfam family "5.8S ribosomal RNA", at positions 35 to 154 of the family's 154-position model. The record is from RNAcentral.